This 449-nucleotide ribosomal RNA is filed under the name uncultured bacterium. RNAcentral describes it as "partial 16S ribosomal RNA". It matches the Rfam family "Bacterial small subunit ribosomal RNA", at positions 29 to 523 of the family's 1533-position model. The record is from RNAcentral.
AAUGAACGCUGGCGGCAGGCCUAACACAUGCAAGUCGAACGGGUCCUUCGGGACUAGUGGCGGACGGGUGAGUAACGCGUGGGAACGUGCCCCUUGGUACGGAAUAGCCCCGGGAAACUGGGAGUAAUACCGUAUGUGGUCGAGAGACGAAAGAUUUAUCGCCAAGGGAUCGGCCCGCGUUGGAUUAGGUAGUUGGUGGGGUAAUGGCCUACCAAGCCGACGAUCCAUAGCUGGUUUGAGAGGAUGAUCAGCCACACUGGGACUGAGACACGGCCCAGACUCCUACGGGACUCAGCAGUGGGGAAACUUAGACAAUGGGGGAAACCCUGAUCUAGCCAUACCGCGUGAUCGAUGAAGGCCUUAGGGUUGUAAAGAUCUUUCAGGUGGGAAGAUAAUGACUGUACCACCAGAAGAAGCCCCGGCUAACUCCGUGCCAGCCGCCGCCGUAA